UACGGGGGGGGCAAGCGUUGUUCGGAAUUACUGGGCGUAAAGGGCUCGUAGGCGGCCAACUAAGUCGGACGUGAAGUCCCUCGGCUUAACCGGGGAACUGCGUCCGAUACUGGAUGGCUUGAGUUUGGGAGAGGGAUGCGGAAUUCCAGGUGUAGCGGUGAAAUGCGUAGAUAUCUGGAGGAACACCGGUGGCGAAGGCGGCAUCCUGGACCAACACUGACGCUGAGGAGCGAAAGCCAGGGGAGCAAACGGG
This 253-nucleotide ribosomal RNA is filed under the name uncultured bacterium. Its description in RNAcentral is "partial 16S ribosomal RNA". It matches the Rfam family "Bacterial small subunit ribosomal RNA", at positions 524 to 776 of the family's 1533-position model. The record is from RNAcentral.